This 263-nucleotide ribosomal RNA is filed under the name uncultured bacterium. RNAcentral describes it as "partial 16S ribosomal RNA". It matches the Rfam family "Bacterial small subunit ribosomal RNA", at positions 793 to 1055 of the family's 1533-position model. The record is from RNAcentral.
GUCCACGCCCUAAACGAUGUCAACUGGGUGUUGGGGAGCGAUUCCUCAGUACCGUAGCUAACGCGUGAAGUUGACCGCCUGGGGAGUACGGCCGCAAGGUUAAAACUCAAAGGAAUUGACGGGGACCCGCACAAGCGGUGGAUGAUGUGGAUUAAUUCGAUGCAACGCGAACAACCUUACCUACCCUUGACAUGUCCUGAAGCCCGCUGAAAGGUGGGCGUGCCCGAAAGGGAAUCGGAACACAGGUGCUGCAUGGCUGUCGU